Long non-coding RNA from Oxyura jamaicensis (ruddy duck), 3885 nucleotides. RefSeq lists it as uncharacterized. The transcript has 2 exons. Lineage: Eukaryota; Metazoa; Chordata; Aves; Anseriformes; Anatidae. The record is from RefSeq and is a predicted model, not a curated record.
ACCAAUGUAGUGUGCAAACUGUUCUGCAGCAAGUGGUAUGUUGUAAUUAACCUACCCAGCCUUAAUCCCAGAAUGUUUAGCUGUUUGUACAUAUAAUUCUCUGUGUUGAUCAAAGUACAAUCAGUGCCUGAAGGAUCAGAUGCUUUAGAAGAAUGUAGGUGAUGAAAGUCAGAAUUUGCUUACUUGUUGCUUUUCAUUUCCUGUCUUAUUUCCAGGCUACGCUGGUGAAGAAAGAUACUCAUGUUUUUACUGUUUCUUCAUCACUGCUCUUUAUUCAUAAAUAAAAAAAAGCCUUUGUUGUGAAACAGGUGUGGUUGCAUGCGUGCUGAAGCUGACGUAAAGCCACAAAAGCAAUAAGAUGAGAUACCUGGUUGUGGCUUCCCCUGACAUUACUGUUGUCCUAAGCCACAGAGCAGCCUUCUAUCUUUUCUCCUGAACUUUCUAUGUAGCUUUUCACCAAGACGCUGUGUGUUGUUAAUUGUAAACAUGUAGUAGCCUUUUGCUGUGUUGAGAUGAAUGUUUUAUUACGGGAAUCCCUUGAAAGGGAAGGCUGGCAAAGAAGGCAGAGCUCAGAUGGGUUUGUUUGCUCGAAGCUAUAUGGUAGUUCUGUUGGAGCAGAGCAACGUACCUGCAAGAUGCUUACAAGGGUGCACGCAAUUGGUUUGACUUUUAUUUCUUUGCUUUUGUGGUAUGUGUCAAGUAUGGUGUAUAGAUAGCUAUUCUGUUCCUCAGGAAAAGUUUUAAAGUAUUGACAAGCUAGCUUUUGCAUAGUGUUUUGUUAGACAAGUGGGUCUGAGGAAGAAGUGUGAAUCUUUGGGAGUUGUUCCAGAAACUGUGUCAAGUGAAACUCCCUGUAGAGAUAACUAUGAAGAGCUGCGUUUUCAUAGCUCAUAAAAUCUUUCCUGCCAUUUCCAUCUGAAACCUGUCCCAUUGUAGGAUUAAAUUUGAAGGGAAAAUAACUGCCUAUAAAAGAUUUUGUGUAUGACAGAGAAGAUUUUAUCCAUCUGCUAGAAAAUCUUAGUGUAAAAAUAAUAACCAGCACUUUGGGUUUGAAUUGGUAGUAGGAGCACAUGUUGCAUUAGAACUAAUCCCUUCCUUUUUAAAGCUAUAAUUCUAAAGUCAAGUGGCAUACAUAUUUUCAGCAGUGGAUUAUUUCAGAAUUUUCCCAUAAAAUUACAGAACUUCACCCAAACUGCACAGAAAAUUCAAUAUACAUAAAAUCCUUUUAACACACUGAAAAAAUCUGCAAAAAAGGUCUCUUUCAUGCUGAAAAGGAAAGACUAUUUGCCUUAGCUUAUGCUCAAGUUUGAAAUUAAUUAGUCUCAGGAUAACAGAACCAUCAGCAAAACGAACUAGAGUUUACACAUUGUUUAUAUAACAGUAUGGGAACUAAUAGUUAUGGGAAUUUAUGAAAAUUUUAGACUGCAGAAUUAAGAUUUUCUGCCAAGUGAUUUAUUUUAUAAAUUCAAAUGAAAGUUCCAAGACUUUACUUAAUUUGUGAAUCAGUUAAAUGGGUAAAAUGAGGCUUUCAAAGUCAUAAGAAGUUUUCUUUCAUAUGCACGUGCGAAAUGCAGUGCCAGCCCUUCAAGCAAGGGACUCUUGAAUUCCCAUUUCAAACACAGGAUGGGCAUAUCAACAUAUCAACACGGCCUGUCAUUCACUGUGCAGCAAUUCAGGUGCAUGAGAUGAGAUACUACAGAAUUCUUAAUAUAAUCAAAUAUGUAGCUAUCUGAAUCAAGUGAAAACAUGAUCAACAAAACGUACAAAUGGAGAAAAGCUUCUUCACUUGCUGUUUGUUAGCUUUUUAAUGGGCCUUUACGUUUAAGUCCAGGUUGUACAUUGUUUUGAGUAGAGAUUCUCACAAUGUCAAAAUCAGUUGUGAUUAGACAAUGCAAGUUUAUAUUGAAAUAUACAUAUUUGAGUUUGUAUGUAUUUUAUUUUCAUAAAACAAAGCAAAAGGUUAUUCUAUCUAAAAGUCUUCCAGUGCAAUGCCCUUAUCACUUGUAAAUAUUUCAGAUUUUAGGAUGUUUUAUCUCUUGAUUUUUUUGUUAAAUAAUGAACAUAAUGUAUUGGUCCUCCUCUAUAAUCAGUGUUUUUUAAACAGCAGGUCGCAUGCAGUUGUAGUCAGUUUAAUACACAUGCGGAAUCUGGUAAAUAUUAAAACUGCUGUUUCACAGUGAUGUCUGUUACGUUCUUUCUCGGAUAUUUCACUUUUGGGUUGUAACACACUUCUCUAAUAAAGCUGCCCAACACAGACUUGGAUGAUUUAAUAGUUAGUCUCUAUAUCAGUUUAUGGCUGCAUUUACAAAGGAGUUGCAAAGGCUCAGUUAUAAAAGAUCUCUGAGAUCCAUUAUAAUGAGAACUCCCAUUUUUCUAAAGCACUUGUUAUUUACAAAUAGAGGACAUUUUUAGGCUCACUGAGCAUUCCAGCAUUUACAUUUGUCAGUGUUUAGUUCUACACUGUUGAAUAUGUAUAUAAUCUGUUGCUGAAAAGAACAGAAACUUGCAGGUCAUAUCUUCUAGCGUUACAGCUAAAACAUUCUAAACCUAUCUUUUAAUACAGCUGUUACAGGAAUUCUCUCAGAUGUUAGAUAAAUCUCAGCUGUUAAAUGCCACAUUAUCACAAAUUGAAAGUCAUUGAAAAUUGAGUAUAUAUGAGGAAAAAGAAGCAGGGGAGAGAAAAUGUGAUUGUGUUUUAAAUGUAAUUUCUUCAUCGUGCUAAGGUCCACUGUUAUGUCACCAAUAGGUAUUUCAGCCUGCUUGCAAUGUAAGAAUGGAAAAAGACAUGCCAGUCACUGGUAGCUGGAGAGGCUUUUAUCUGCUUUAACCAGCCUUUCUCAUUAAGAAAAUUUGAAAUAGAAAACCAAAUCUUUAUUUUAAAUUUCUUCUAGGAAGAUUGUCCCCAUAGCACAUCUCAUUUCUGUUUCAGUGGCAGAGAAGCUGGCACUGGUACAGGCUUUGAGGAUGAGCUAGCCUGAGAAAUCUGGAAACAAAGGGAGAGCAGUGGCUCCUAAUUUCUGCAGUGUUUGAGUAUCUCCCUAGAAAGCUCUAGGAGCACUAUGUACUUUUGCCUCUUCACAAGCCUGUUUGGCCGGAAUGAGGGAGGAAGGACCCAAGAAACACGUCACUAGAAGAUGAAGUUCUCUGUAAAGCAGAUUGAAUAUUGUUGCAAGGAACAAAACGUAAUUCUUAUUUGAGCACACUACAUGUGUAUACCUGUACGUACAUUUAAGAGCAAGAGUUCUUGCUUCCCAUCCAGCGAUCCCUUCAUCAGCCGUGUGCAUCACGACUGUCACGUCUGUUGGCACAUAGCUGUGUAAAUAUUAAUAAUGAGUUCUCCAAUCAGCUGAGCAAAAGGAAACCUUUUUUUGAAGGGAUUUACCCCUUCAGCAAAUUGCAUAUCUGUCAAAUAUCAGAUGAGGGGAAAGCUGUCCAUCUUGGGCCCAAAUGAGUUUGGCUAUUUAAUUUCUGUGCUGAUAGAGCUUCCAUAGGUAAACUGGAAAGCGUAUGGUCGUACCAACUCUGGAGAUAAAACCAGUGUUUCCACAUCUGAGUAAAAUCUGUUCUUUACCUAGUGAUCUGCUCACAAAGAGGAGCAGGAGUGCCAGUGCUUAUGGCAGAAGUUUGGCUAGACGAAUCAGAACCUGUGCCUGAAAAUAACCUCCUUUAUUGCAAAUGCAUGUGGUGAGGCAUCUUUUCUGGACCCCUAAGUGGCAGUGAACUAUAUUCUGACAGGCCCAGGAUAUGAGCUGGCAACUUCCCUCUUGUAAAUAUUCCCUUGAGCAGAGAUCAACAAGUUUGCCAGUAUAUGUCUUUUCCACAGGUCCUUUGGACACAACUGUGUAUAAAAAGAAGUGAAGGACAAUGAAAUUGCUUGUCCAGUUU